This is a long non-coding RNA of Rattus rattus (black rat), 1446 nucleotides long. RefSeq lists it as uncharacterized. NCBI's taxonomy places the organism in Eukaryota, Metazoa, Chordata, Mammalia, Rodentia, Muridae. The record is from RefSeq and is a predicted model, not a curated record. The transcript is spliced from 3 exons.
AAAGCCUAAGCCAAAGUAAAUUCUUCCUUCUCUGUGUCAUGUUUUGUCAGGUUGAGGUGAACGGCCACGAGAAAAUCGCGGGAGAAAGAAGAACGUCAUGUGGGCCGUACUUCCCCAUGUCUGGUGUGUCUUUGGGGUGACCUCACAAGGAGUCGUCAUAGGAACCUGUUCAUACGAGGCACUGGCUCCAGCUGGCUUUGUGCUUAUACCUGAGAGAAGCUGUUGGUUGCUUGGAAAGAAGUUGGACUUGGAUAGACGUUGAUAAACGUGGGCUUCCCUGAUCAGUUGGACCUUGACAUAGAGUGAAGAACACGCCCAGUUCUAUGGUUAUUGAAUGUCGGGUCUGUUUCCAACCUGGUGUGGACGGAGAGCCACAGGAAGGAUCCAAGUCAGAACUGCAGGAGCGUGUCUGCAUCCACACUCAUUACACGCCACUUCCUUGGUCCAGGCCCUGGUACCCAGGUGGUAUUGUCAUCUCCUUCCCUGACUGGUUUCCAUUAGUCUGAGUUUUAUUCUACCAACCCAGGAGAUUGACUGGAUCACUGAGUUGGUGCUGUCCCACUUUGGAGAAGAUGGCCCUGUCAGGCCUUGGACACAGAAGCCCUUACAAAGCCAGUGGUCAUUUUUCUACCCUGUGCCCAACACCACCUUUGGGAUCAGACCUACAAGGAAAUGGAUUGCCAUGGGACUGGAACUCUUGACCAGUGGUGCAGUAUCGACUGGACACCCUCAAGUUGCCAGGCCACCUCUGGUACUAAAUGGUAGGUGGAACUCUUAUUGCUGAAGAUGGCACUGAGUCUACUAAGUGCCAGCCGGUGGCAGAAGAUGAGUUUCUGAAGCCUGGUUUUGAUGAACGCUGGCCUAAGUAAGGAUAAGGAGGCAGCAGAGGCCAGGCUCCCACAAUCCCCAGGGGACAGUGUAAUGGCCUGACUUGCUGAAGAGCUAAAAAUGACUGAGUGGGUCAGCCACUGAAUUGCACCGUGCUGUAAAACCACAACUGUCAGGUGAUUCCCGUGGGGGAAAUAGAGGUAGAGACACUGAGCUCAAGGGACCAGAGUGGGUUUGAUUGAGUGCGUGACUGCAGAGGCCAGCCUGUGGCCCUGUUCACUUUAUGGGACCAGGGCACGGGGAAAGAGAAGAGGGCAGCUAUUGCCCUAAGUGAAGCAGGCCAGAUGGGUGAGUGCUUCAGCAUGGUGGUUUCUGAGGAAGGUUUUUAGUCUCUGGUGUGUACAGAGCUGCUUUCCAUCAGGGUCCAGUAGCCUUGUUGUACACAAUCAUGUCUGCACUGCCCAGGAGGCUGGGCUGGUGGUGUGGAACUCUUACCUGAGAGAGAGAGGAAAGCAACAUACCCAACCCCCAGCACACUCUCUUAUCCACGAGUUCCUACCCUCACAGUGGGGGUGGAGAGUGCCAUCAGAGCUCCUAUAUAUCAGGCUGUCUGCAUAG